Molecule: ribosomal RNA, 497 nt
Filed under: uncultured bacterium
Lineage: Bacteria
Description: partial 16S ribosomal RNA
Rfam family: Bacterial small subunit ribosomal RNA
Source: RNAcentral
GACGAACGCUGGCGGCGUGCCUAAUACAUGCAAGUUGAGCGCUGAAGGGUGGUGCUUGUUCCAACUGGGUGAGCAGCGAACGGGUGAGUAACGCGUGGGGAAUCUGCCUUUGAGCGGGGGACAACAUUUGGAAACGAAUGCUAAUACCGCAUAAAAACUUUAAACACAAGGUUUAAGUGUGAAAGAUGCAAUUGCAUCACUCAAAGAUUAUCCCGCGUUGUAUUAGCUAGUUGGUUAGGUAAAGGCUCACCAAAGCGAAGAUACAUAGCCGACCUGAGAGGGUGGUCGGCCCAAUUGGGACUGAGACAAGGCCCAAACCCCUACGGGAGGGAGCAGUAGGGAAUCUUCGGCCAUGGAGGAAAGUCUGACCGAGCAAAGCCGCGUGAGUGAAGAAGGUUGUCGGAUCGUAAAACUCUGUUGGUAGAGAAGAAAGUUGGUGAGAGUGGAAAGCUCAUCAAGUGACGGUAACUACCCAGAAAGGGACGGCUAACUACGUG